RNAcentral lists this ribosomal RNA (459 nucleotides) under uncultured bacterium. RNAcentral's name for it is "SSU rRNA". It matches the Rfam family "Bacterial small subunit ribosomal RNA", at positions 26 to 518 of the family's 1533-position model. The record is from RNAcentral.
AGAAUCAACGCUGGCGGCGUGCCUAACACAUGCAAGUCGAACGAGAAAGUGGAGCAAUCCAUGAGUAAAGUGGCGACCGGGUGAGUAACACGUGACUAACCUACCUUCGAGUGGGGAAUAACCUCGGGAAACCGGGGCUAAUACCGCAUAAUGUCUUCGGACCAAAGGAGCAAUUCGCUGGAAGAGGGGGUCGCGGCCGAUUAGCUAGUUGGCGGGGUAACGGCCCACCAAGGCAAUGAUCGGUAGCCGGCCUGAGAGGGCGCACGGCCACACUGGAACUGAAACACGGUCCAGACUCCUACGGGAGGCAGCAGUGGGGAAUUUUGCGCAAUGGGGGAAACCCUGACGCAGCAACGCCGCGUGGAGGAUGAAGCCCCUUGGGGUGUAAACUCCUUUCGAUCGGGACGAUUAUGACGGUACCUGAUGAAGAAGCACCGGCUAACUCUGCGCAGCAGCCGC